RNA transcript from Eutrema salsugineum, 2152 nucleotides. It is a transcript of the gene named splicing factor U2af large subunit A, with no coding region annotated. Lineage: Eukaryota; Viridiplantae; Streptophyta; Magnoliopsida; Brassicales; Brassicaceae. The transcript is spliced from 12 exons. The record is from RefSeq and is a predicted model, not a curated record.
UCCCUUGUUUCGAAUCUCGACGGCAGAAAAAAGAGGAAAUUUAUCUAAACCCUAUCUCCGGUGAGAGAGAGCGUUAGUUCCCCGGUGAACAGAUGUCUGAAUUCGAAGAUCACGAGGGUAACGGCACGGCUGUUGACGGCUUCUACGCCGAAGAUAAUGGUGGCCACGGCAGCGAAAUCGAGGAUCACAUAGACUCGAAAUCUAAGAGUGAAACGCGUGACAAUGAAAGAGAGAGUUCUAGAAGUAAAGAUAGAGAAAGAGAGAAGGGGCGUGAUAAGGACAGAGAAAAGGACUCUGAUCGAAGCAGAGACAGAGAUAGAGAGAAAAGCAAGGAGAGAAGUAGAGAGAAAGACAGAGACAGAGAUCGUGACCGUCAUCACAGAAGUAGUCGUCACAGAGAUCAUAGCAGGGAAAGAAGUGAAAGAAGAGAGCGUGGUAGUAGAGAUGACGAUGACUACCGCCGAAGCCGCGAUCGUGAUUAUGAUAGGCGCAGAGAUGAUAGAGGAGAUAGACGCCGUCGUCGGUCUCGCUCUAGAUCAAAGGGUAGAUCUGAACGCAGAUCAAGAUCGCGUUCUCCAUCAAAAAGUAAGCGGGUCAGUGGAUUCGAUAUGGCACCUCCAGCCUCUGCAAUGUUAUCUGCUGGUGCUCCCGUUACAGGCCAAGUUCCUCCCGCACCACCAACUCUUCCUGGGGCUGGAAUGUUUCCCAACAUGUUUCCCUUACCUACUGGACAGCCAUUUGGGGGAAUUCCAAUGAUGCCGAUUCAGGCUAUGACACAGCAGGCGACUAGGCAUGCUCGCAGAGUCUAUGUCGGUGGGCUUUCUCCUACGGCAAAUGAACAGUCUGUGGCUACAUUUUUUAGUCAAGUUAUGGCUGCUGUUGGUGGAAACACUGCUGGUCCUGGGGAUGCUGUUGUUAAUGUUUACAUAAACCAUGAGAAGAAGUUUGCUUUUGUGGAGAUGCGAUCUGUUGAAGAGGCAAGCAACGCAAUGUCUUUGGAUGGGAUUAUAUUUGAGGGAGCUCCAGUGAAGGUGAGAAGACCUAGUGACUAUAACCCAUCUCUAGCUGCAACUCUCGGUCCAAGCCAGCCCAGUCCCAAUCUAAACUUAGCUGCUGUUGGUCUGACUCCAGGUGCUUCUGGUGGGCUUGAAGGUCCAGAUCGUAUAUUUGUUGGUGGACUUCCAUAUUACUUCACCGAGGCACAAGUCAGGGAGUUGUUGGAGUCCUUUGGUGCCCUGAAGGGAUUUGAUCUUGUAAAAGAUCGAGAAACUGGGAACUCUAAAGGAUACGCCUUUUGUGUGUACCAAGAUCUCUCCGUUACGGAUAUUGCGUGCGCUGCCCUAAAUGGUAUCAAAAUGGGUGAUAAGACUCUUACUGUGAGACGUGCAAACCAGGGAACAAUGCAACCGAAACCUGAACAAGAGAGUGUAUUGUUGCAUGCGCAACAGCAGAUUGCUUUACAGAGGAUUAUGCUUCAGCCGGGCGCAGCGGCCACAACAGUCGUAUGUCUGACUCAAGUUGUUGCCGAGGAUGAGCUAAGAGACGACGUGGAGUAUGAAGAAAUAAUGGACGACAUGAAACAAGAAGGCGAAAAGUUUGCCUUUUGCUAUAAAGAAUCAGCCCUAACAUACACAGAAUGGAGACUCCAUAAACCCUUAUUUAUUUUUCAUCAAAGGCCACAUUUCUUAGAAGAAAAAUAACUAACGCUUUUUGACUCUGUUUUGAUUCUCUUGUAUUCGAAAUGUUUGUUCUUUAACUGUUGAAAUGCAGGUGCAUUGACCAAUGUUGUGAUUCCGCGUCCCAGCCCCAACGGUGAGCCAGUGCCAGGCCUUGGCAAGGUGUUCUUGAAGUAUGCCGAUACUGAGAGUGCAUCGAGGGCAAGAAACGGGAUGAAUGGUAGGAAAUUUGGAGGAAACGAAGUGGUUGCUGUGUUUUACCCAGAAGACAAGUUUGAACAGGGAGAUUAUGGAGCCUGAACAUUGGCCGACCGUGUUUGUGUCUGAUUUGGUCAAAUGGAUUACUUUUUAGUAGAGAUUUUGUUUUCUCUUAUUUUGUUUUUGUGUCAGUUUCCAGAAGUCCCUAUGUCAAUGAAUUAAAACAUUCGAGAUUGUUGCCUCUAUAUUUUACUUUUAAUAUUAGAGUUUUUUAUAAA